GAACGCUGGCGGCAGGCCUAACACAUGCAAGUCGAGCGGCAGCGGUCNUUCGGGAUGCCGGCGAGCGGCGGACGGGUGAGGAAUGCAUCGGAAUCUGCCCUGUCGUGGGGGAUAACCUAGGGAAACUUAGGCUAAUACCGCAUACGACCCACGGGUGAAAGCGGGGGAUCGCAAGACCUCGCGCGACAGGAUGAGCCGAUGUCCGAUUAGCUAGUUGGCGGGGUAAAGGCCCACCAAGGCGACGAUCGGUAGCUGGUCUGAGAGGAUGAUCAGCCACACUGGGACUGAGACACGGCCCAG
RNAcentral lists this ribosomal RNA (300 nucleotides) under uncultured bacterium SB4. RNAcentral's name for it is "bacterial SSU rRNA". It matches the Rfam family "Bacterial small subunit ribosomal RNA", at positions 31 to 334 of the family's 1533-position model. The record is from RNAcentral.